Long non-coding RNA from Toxorhynchites rutilus septentrionalis, 2718 nucleotides. RefSeq lists it as uncharacterized. NCBI's taxonomy places the organism in Eukaryota, Metazoa, Arthropoda, Insecta, Diptera, Culicidae. The record is from RefSeq and is a predicted model, not a curated record. The transcript is spliced from 3 exons.
UCAUAUUUCUUCACAUUUCACAUGAAUAUAUCACUAGUCUAAACCCACCCUAAGACACCAUUUCGGUAGGACUCAUAGUUUUUGAGAUAUAAAUUAUCAAAUAUUUCUCUUGCUAAAAUCGAUACGCCUUUUUCAAGAGUUACACUUAAGUCAAAAAAUUCCCAAAUGCUGUGGAAAACUCAUAUUUCCUCCCACACAAACGGAAUACAAACUUUCAUUCGAAUCAAAAAUACUCAUGUUUUGUCAUUUGCGGAUUUUUCAUUUGGAAUUGCUCUAUAGUCACAUUUUCAAAAAAAAAAAGGACAAACACAAGUGCUUCCGAUUUUUGCAACGCUCCAAUACAUGGAUGGCCCCACUAUAUUUGUAACAGGGCAAUUGUCAUCUAAGUAGAAAUUGAUAGCCCAAAAUUGUUAUACCUUGUCAUAAUUUUUUUUUUAUAAAACCUGUUCCAUUUUCACUUUACGCAUAAAAUAUUAAUCUUACAUAACAAAAUUGAUUUCGAAUCCUAGGUAAAGUGUAUCACUAUUUACAGUAGUAUUCAUGUAUAUCCGAUUCAUAGUUACUAGUUACCUGUCAUCAUUCUACGGGUUAAAUAUUGAAAGUUCUAGGCUGCAUUUGAUUAUCUUGUAAAAUUAAAUAAUUUACUAUUGAUCAUUCGUAUUAAUAAUAUAGAGCAAUACUAUGUUGUUGUGAGCAGAUUGCAUAGAUUAGCAAUUAGUUGUCCCUCUCUUCUCAACUUCUAGAUAAAUUUCAAAUCGAAUGCGGACAAAAAAAAAGUGUUGAUAAAGAGGGAUAAAAUUGUGUCUUUUACCAUAUUGAUUGAUUCUGGUGCGUAUGCUAUCCGAUAAAAUUAUAAUACCCAGCUCAUCCAUUUAUUGUCGUUAUCCCUCUUCAGCACUUAUUCGCCUUUUUUGACAGAAUUGCCAUCCAACUAGUGUGCAGUCCACGCUUUCUCACAGCCAUGUUUUCAUAUGUUUAUGAUGCUCACAUUUUAAUGUAUGAAGAAGGAUUUGUCUCUAUGCUGCUGCAGAUGCCUUCAACGUCGAAGCAUUUUUUCUAUAAGCGUAUUAUGGUACUGAAAAAUGCAACCGCGACAAUUCAGCGCAAAUUAAGGAUCAAUUCGCGAGUUUGUUAACUGUAUUCAGUAACAAGCAAAUCAACACAUGCAUUUGUUGCUAUUCGGGGUUUCUCCUAAAGAAAUCUAGAAUUUAUUAUAUACAACCUAUAACUAUUCUGUUAUUAUUUACAAAUUCGAUAUCUUUAUCAAAUGGGUUUAAGCAAAAAAUAAAAUUCAAAAAUACGGUGAAAACUGGAAUAUUCGGGUGUAAGGCCGCUUUCAACAUUAUCGAAUCUUGCAGACAGCAUUCAACGUGGAAUUGUUUUAAGUUGAUAUGGCUGUGUGUGUUUUUUAUUCUGACAUAUAUUCAACCCGACUGAGUUUACAAGAUCACAAACAUUAGGCUGAGCUUAACAGAUCUAAAAUAAAUAAUUCUUUUCGGGGAUUGGUUCGAUAAGACGCGUAUGCUACAUAUGGAAAGGAUUAAAAUAGAUUUCAGCUAGGCUCUCCCCUCUCUCGAUAUUUGCUACGUCAGCUACUCUUUUGUCACAGUCUUAUGCGCAGUCCGGUAAUUGGCGGUUCUGAAACGAGACGUAAACUUAUCAGAGAUUGGGUGUGAAGAUUGCGAUACGUUUCCCCGCGGGGAUCGAUCGAUGAGUAAUGCCGAGCAAAAACCUUGACAUUAACGAUUUUACAUGCAUAUAUACAUUACAAAAACAUAAGCAUAUUGCAAUUCUAGGCGAUUCAUUCGCUGUGAAUUUUUAAUGCGUAUAUUAUCGGCAAGCUAACAAAUAGGGUAUUUAUCACUAAUUGUACAACAACAACCAUGAGAAAAAAGGAAUCUGUUAGCGGUAGUGCAAAAAAAAACAAUUUGUGAUAUGUGUUUCGUGUCGACUAUAAAAUAUGCAUUGAAAUAAGAGAAUACCAGGCAGUAAAUCCCAGAUAAAACCAGAUUCAACGAAUUAAAUACUAUGCUUAUUUUGAGAAAAGGGCAAUUUCACAAAACGUGAAAUGUGUUCUGGUUCUUUACAGCGACAAUCUAUCCUGAAAGUAGAAGAUGAUCUUAAUAAGCGCAACAGUAGGUGGGACUAGAGCUGCCAUCUUACCAUUUUGACGCCAUCUUCAACAGCUUACGUUAUCAGAUUUGCAACUUUGGUCGAUGACACAUGGCGCAGUUCUGCCAUACUUGAUCUUUCGAUCUGCUGUUCAUCAGUGACUCCAGACUUUUUGUGAGUAUGUUUGCCAAAUAUCAGUUUACUGUUUAUGGUUAGGUCGGGAUAUAUUACUCCGUCGGACCAAGGAACGUCGUUGGGGUAAAUUCUGGAGAUAACGUUUCCAAGGCAAAAAGAUUGUUUGAGGUUUGUUAGAGUUGACCGUUAACCUUGGGAUACACUAGAGGAAAUACUCUCCGUCUGCGACAGAUUACCACUCACAGCUACUUGAAAAUUUGGGAUCAGAAGAAUCACAGCUGCACCAGGCACCAAUUUUGGAGAAUGUUUUCUUGGUAUAGUUACCUCAUAAAUUGAUAUGAUGUUUGACAAUAGAGCGUGUUCAACGAAAGUUUGUCAGGCUUGCAUUAUACCACCAACCAUGUCACAAGAUGCGCUAAACCUCCCACCCUAUUCGGAACGCUGCAAUCUGCUCAGACUGGACAAUCUGGA